This 497-nucleotide ribosomal RNA is filed under the name uncultured bacterium. RNAcentral's name for it is "partial 16S ribosomal RNA". It matches the Rfam family "Bacterial small subunit ribosomal RNA", at positions 28 to 507 of the family's 1533-position model. The record is from RNAcentral.
GAUGAACGCUGGCGGCGUGCCUAAUACAUGCAAGUCGAGCGAACAGACGAGGAGCUUGCUCCUCUGACGUUAGCGGCGGACGGGUGAGUAACACGUGGAUAACCUACCUAUAAGACUGGGAUAACUUCGGGAAACCGGAGCUAAUACCGGAUAAUAUAUUGAACCGCAUGGUUCAAUAGUGAAAGACGGUUUUGCUGUCACUUAUAGAUGGAUCCGCGCCGCAUUAGCUAGUUGGUAAGGUAACGGCUUACCAAGGCGACGAUGGGUAGCCGACCUGAGAGGGUGGUCGGCCACAUUGGAACUGGGACACGGUCCAGACUCCUACGGGAGGGACCAGUAGGGAAUCUUCCGCAAUGGGCGGAAGCAUUACGGAGCAACGGCGCGUGUGUGAUGAAGGUCUUCGGAUCGUAAAAAUCUGUUAUUAGGGAAAAACAAAUGUGUAAGUAAAUAAGCACGUAUUGACGGUACCUAAUCAAAAAGCCACGGCUAACUACGUG